CAUAUUACUAUAGUAUUACAGAAGGGACUUUGCUGCCAUCGCUGGUCCUGACGUGACAAGGGGGAAAUGAAAAUUACCAACACGCGAGAAGGACACAUGAGGAGGACACCUGGCAUGAGCGUUCUGUUUCUCGGGAGAGAUGCGAUGAGCGUGAGGAAGCCCGAGGGAGGGCUUGGUGGGGAGUCAGGGAGUAGACACGGCGAUGGUAUGUUCUCCCGUGUUCUUGUUUCCUGCCGUUUCCAUCACCGACCAAGUCAAACCAGAAGUCACAGAGUAAAGACAACUGUUGAUGCAACUCUUUAUGGUCAGGACACAGAGUAAAGUCGAUCUGAAAGAGAGGCGAAGGAUGCCUUCUCCUCAAAACCACUCUGCCUUUCACAAACUGUAGAAAUGAUCCCUGAAAGUACAGUCUUCCACUCUGCCUUUCAGACGUGUAGUGACUCCCAGGCUUUGUGCUCUAUGACGUGGUCUAUCUGUAGCUCUCAAUGUGGAUAUUUCCCCAUCACCUUCACCCCAUCGUGAUGACUCAUUCAAAAUUGAGUUUGGGACCUAGGCUGCCAAAAAUGGUGGCAAUGGGAGGUGAAAUUGCUCAUUUAGCUUCUCCUAUGACAUUCCUGAGCUAUAUACAUAUGGACCUUAUGGUAAAGGAGAGUGGUUGCUGACUGAUAAUAAUCCUUUACCUUUGGGAUCCUGGAUCACAUCAAACUUAGAUGACGUCAGAGUGAUUUGCGUUAAAAUUAGAAAAGUAUGUGAGGAAAUUCUGGGGCAUUCAGUGCCCAUGACGGCAGUGAGGUCACCUCACUUCUUUGGUACUUUCACAAGGAGACUGAGGUUGGAGAUGUGAGGUUUGCUGUAGAAAGUGGAAGGGUAGACGGAACCUCUUAUUUUCAUGGACUAGCAGUGGGUGGUAAAUUCCUGUCAUAACUAAAUAAAUUUUCUUCAUUAGAACUGUGCUACUGGGAUCAUUCUAUUUUGUUCAAUGUCUGAAAGAGCCAGUUCUCAAUGAAUAUAUUAAACAUGAGAGUACCCAAAGAUUAGAAAACUUUGACACAUAUGCAGUAAUAAUAUCUUAGUCGAGUGAAGAGAUGAGCGUGAACAUUCGUAAUUAAACGCAUGUUACCAAGUUCAAAACUAGAGUGGAAAAGAUGAACAGUAGAAGAUAUUUUUAAAGGAAAUUUCUUUACUCCACAUUUAGAAGUCAGUAUUGUUGACAGACAUGGGGAAUUUUAUUCACCCUGAUUAGAGGUUUCUUAGCAUUCAGUAGCCCACCUGCCCGCCUUUCUGCAUGGCUUAAUCACCAGUAGACCUCUAGAAGUCAAUGUUGUUGACACCAUAAGGAGUUUUAUUCACUGAGUGGAAGCUUCUUUUUAUAAUCAGACCAAAUGUAUCUAAUCCGUUUCAUCAGGCAAAGAACCUGUGGCACAGUGGAUAAGGUACCAGCCUAUAGAGAAUCAGGUUUGAGAGAUCACAAUGCUUAUGACCUUUAACGUAGGUCUUAAUUUUUAGAGCAGUUUUAAGAUUAUAGCAAAAUUGAGUUAAUAGAGACUCCCCGUAUACUCCCUAUUGUAGUAGUUUUUAGGUAUGCAUUUCACUUUAGUGAGUUUCAUUUUCAUCUAGUGCGUAGCAGUAGGACCAAACGAGGCAUUUCCAGCUCUUUGGUUAUGGACUCUAUAGCCAUCCACGCUUUGUCCUCAAUAAGUCCCUCUCACUGGCUGCACCACAGCUGAGAUUCUUUACCAGGAUACAACUAGCAUUUUGUCUCAUGUUGCCCCACAUCAUAUAUUCCAGACACUGAGGUGGUGCAUAGUUGAGACUCUCUGUGGACUUCUUGCUUUGAAUUCCUGAACUGCCAUAUCCGGAAGAGUAAAGGAAGGGUUUGGGGAAAGGCCAUCAACUGAAAUAGUGGCACGGACAGGGUUACAGGCACUGUCCUGAGUUUCUCCUGGGGCCCGUGUCUCUAAGGACUGGAAGCAGACUUAUCAGCUCAUCCUUUUUGCUUUGCAUGUUAGAACCAUCUCUUGACAAGAGGGACUCUUCUACCGAGUAGGUGAGGACUGGGAAAGAUGAAAGUGGGAGGUAAUAGAAGAAUAUAGAGGGGGUUUUGAGAGACAGAAGAGAGCAGGGCAGACGCCUCAACUAUGGGAAGGAGGACCAGGAGACGGAUUCAGGAAGGGAGAGGUUCUUAGUUCAUUACGGGACAUAAUUUCUCCACAUCCCUUCACGGUUCACACCCAUGCACACAGCAUUCAAGUCAGACUCAGACGUUCAGGUGAGAGUCGCCCUCUGUGCUCUAGACGUUCAUGGUAUGUGGUCUGUCCAUGAACAGGAAUGCUCACACAGGGGGAAGGACUAGUUCCAGCUAUAACACGAGAGGAAUUCCAGAAUAAGGUGGGGUUACACUAGAGAAGCGUCCUGCUCUCUCCCAAUCCCAAGUACCAGUGAUUUUUAACAUGACCUUACUUAUGAAUUAUGUUUUAAACCACAUAUUAUGUGCAUCCUCGAGAUUCUGGAGUUUAUGAACUCUCUCCACAAACUCCCCUUGCCUCCUGUGGCAGAGUCCAUCGCCAGAUGAUGUGCAUGAGUUUCAAAUGGCAGGAUCGGGAGCAGUAGGAGCUGGACUGUCCACGUGAACCGCUGCAGCAAUAAAGAGCUUGAGAAGUAGCAGAUGGAUCAGACACUAGUGAAUGUAUGAGGUGUAAUGAGUAUUUCUGCUGUCACUUCAGAAUGCUGAUGUGACUGCUCUGGUUCCUCUUUCCCAGAAGUGCCCAAGAUCUCAUUCUCUUUUUGGUGACAUUGCUUUUUUAUCCUGGACUCUGUUUCUUUGUUGUUGUUGUUGUUGUUGUUUAUUUCCCGAAAUGGGCACUGAGUAAAACAAGGUAUAUGUAUGUAGUGCCAUCCUCAGGAUCAGGAGAAUUUCAGAGUGGGUGAACAGGUCGGGACGCACUUUAUGUCUGUGUCUGUACUGAAUCUUUACUGGAUGAAAUGGAGAUGAAGCCGCUGGGAUUCGUCUUCGACUUCUCAGCCGACCGGGGGCACCUUCGUGAGAUCGACACUCACGGAGCUCUUCUCUGCAGGAGGACACGCCACGGUCUCCCGUGUCUUCCUCUUGCCCGUGUCCUCCAGAGAGUUACUGUUACUGUUGGCAUCGUCAUUACUGUUGUUGUCAUCGUCACCACUGUCAUCAUAUUUUACCCACAAUGUCUCCUUUCCCCUUGCACAUCCCGUCAAAUUGCUACUACCUUCCCUUUACAGAGGAGGCAGCUUUGGUACAGAGAGGAGAACAAGAAGGUCAGGUGGUCAAAAUUAAAGUGAAUAAGACAUUGAGACCGGCAUAUAGCUUAGGUUAAUGACGUGGUGGCAGAACCAGAGUAACAGAGUCUAAAGUAGGGAAAGGGUGCAUGGCUGUCGCCUUAAAACCUCAGUCAAGGUUAUUGAGGUGACCAGAGGUGCUUCAGAUUGGCCUCCAGAUCAGCUAUCUUACAAUUUUGGUUUCGGGUUCUUUUUUUUUUUUUUGGUCUUUUUGUCUUUUCAGGACAACACCUGCGGCAUAUGGAGGUUCCCAGGCUAGGGGUUGAAUCAGAGCUGUAGCCACCGGCCUGCACUGCAGCCACAGCAACGUGGGAUCCGAGCUGUGUCUGUGACCUACACCACCACUCACAGCAAAGCUGGAUCCUUAACCCACUGAGCGAGGUCAGCGAUCGAACCUGCAACUUCAUGGUUCCUAGUCGGACUCAUUUCCGCUGCGCCAUGACGGGAACUCCCAUAACUUACAAUUUUCAAUGAAACUUAUGUUUACUCCUUCUUGGCAAUAGUAGAGAGAGGUUAUAAUUUCAGAAUAAAAAUGGGCUGAAUUUACCAAGCAGUGAGAUGGAAAGAACCAGAUUUCGGAAUUUGGAGUAUGGAAUAGAAAUUGGAAAAGAAUCAACAAAAAGAAGGGAUGAUACUGGAAAAUCUGGGUUGUCCUUAGUCCCAGCGUGGACAGGAGGGUGAAGGAGACAGACCGGAAUCUGGGGAGGCGACAAGCCAGGCAGAAGGAGGAAAACGGCAGGGCUGUAACGAGUAUCAGUUCAGACAACAUGUGGGCAGAACUUAAAUGUAACAUGAACAGUCGGAAAGACUAGACGUGGAUACGGAAUUUAUUUAUUUGAUGUCGUGCUUAUGGGUCUUUCACAUCCUAGAAAAGUAUGACGUAUCCCCGGGGAAUAUCUUCUGCAGCCAGGGUUUAUUUACAUGGAAUUAGAGCAGAUUGAAGGGCACUGGAUGUCUCAAAAGACCGAAGGAGACUUUACACGAUGGCAAGAUCGUGACUUAGGUCCACACAGCAGCUGAUAUGUGGAUGUUUAUAGCAGCCUUCUUGGUGAUGGCCAAACGUGAGAAGCAACCAAAAUGCCCUUCAGUAGGAUUAGCAGUAGUCCAUCUAGACAAUGCAAUAUUAUUUCAUGGUAAAAAUACAUGCGUUCUCAAGGCAUAAAAAGAUAGAAGAAAUUUAAAUGCAUGCUAAGUGAAAGAAUCCAGUCUGAAAAGGCUACAUCCUGUAUGAUUCCCACUAUAUGACCUUCUGGAAAACCCAAAACUAUGAAAAUGCUAAAAAGAUCCACAGCUGCCAGGAGUUGGGGGCCAGAGAAAAUAUGUGAUACUGUAAUGAUGGCUACACACCAUUACACCUUUGUCCAAACCCGUGGAAUAUGUAACACCAGGUGUGCCUCUCAUGUGAACUGUUGACUUUGGGGGAUUUUGACGCGUCAGUGUAGGUUCAGCCACUUAACAAAAGGACCGCUCUGGUGAGGGAUGGUGACAGUGGGGGAGGCUGUGCAUGUGGGGGGCAGGGAAGACAUGGGAAGUUGCUAUGCUUCUCAGUUUUGCUGUGAACCUAAAACAGCUCUAAAAAACAAAAGUCUAGGAGUUCCCGUGGUGGCUCAGCAGUAACAAACCCAACUGGUAUCCAUGAGGUUGCAGAUUCGAUCCUUGGCCUUGCUCAGUGGGUUAAGGAUGUGGUGUUGCCCUGAGCUGUGGUGUAGGUUGUAGAUGCAUCUGAGUCUGGUGUUGCUGUGGCUGUGGUGGAGGCCAGCAGCUUCACCUCGGGUUCGACCCCUAGCCUGGGAACCUCCAUAUGCCGUGGGUGCGGCCCUAAAAAGACAAAAAAAAAAAAUUUUAAAUGGGAGAUAAUCUGUCCCAUGAAUUGUAAAUUCUCAAACCAGUAUUUUGAUGAACAAGAAUGCUUGAAAAGUGAUAGAUAAUUGGCUUUGUGAGAGGUGGCUCACCAUUCUUAUUUCAGAGAUGUUUUUCUUGACGACAGAAGAGGUACUAGAAUUUGGUGUCUGAGUAGAAAAAAGAUUUAGUGUCAAAGUGAUUCCCCUAGGAUUUUUGUGGAGCAUUAUUUGGGUUUAUUUUAUCUGGUUUUGGCUUUGAAUCAUGUUUCUACUCUAUCUUUCCACUACCCCUAUCAAUUCUUUUUCUUUUCUUCUCUUUUCUUUUUUUCUGUAGAAAAAGCCAGUCUUUAAAUGACUGAUAAGUCUGAAACAUAAUAGGAAGAAGAUUCUGCAUCUUUAAAAUCAGAUCAGAGUCAGUUGUGCUUUGCUUAACAUUGCAUAUAAAAAUUACAUCUUUUGGCUGCGGCAAAGGCUGGCAGCUAUAGCUCCGAUUUAACCUCUACCCCGUAUGUCACAAGUGUGGCC
This 5675-nucleotide long non-coding RNA is filed under the name Sus scrofa (pig). RNAcentral describes it as "lncRNA (ENSSSCG00000059408.1)". The record is from RNAcentral. Lineage: Eukaryota; Metazoa; Chordata; Mammalia; Artiodactyla; Suidae.